RNAcentral lists this ribosomal RNA (253 nucleotides) under uncultured bacterium. RNAcentral describes it as "partial 16S ribosomal RNA". It matches the Rfam family "Bacterial small subunit ribosomal RNA", at positions 524 to 776 of the family's 1533-position model. The record is from RNAcentral.
UACGUAGGGGGCAAGCGUUGUCCGGAUUUAUUGGGCGUAAAGAGCGUGUAGGCGGCUUUGCAGGUCCGCUGUGAAAACUCGAGGCUCAACCUCGAGCUGUCGGUGGAAACCGUAAAGCUAGAGUCCGGAAGAGGAGAGUGGAAUUCCCGGUGUAGCGGUGAAAUGCGCAGAUAUCGGGAAGAACACCCGUGGCGAAGGCGGCUCUCUGGGACGGUACUGACGCUGAGGUGCGAAAGCGUGGGGAGCAAACAGG